Molecule: long non-coding RNA, 181 nt
Organism: Telopea speciosissima
Lineage: Eukaryota; Viridiplantae; Streptophyta; Magnoliopsida; Proteales; Proteaceae
Exons: 3
Source: RefSeq, a predicted model, not a curated record
GGAACGAAUACGGCCGCGUCAGAAGCAGGAGUCGGUGCCGGAGCUUCAGCUGCUGCUACAUUCUGAACCGCCGACAUGGCCAAGACCAUGAGGAUCACAACGGCGAAGAGUCUCAUCUUCAAUGCCUCCAUUUUUUGGUGUAGAGAAAGUGAGAAUUAAAAAACCUAACCCUCAUGUGAGA